Molecule: long non-coding RNA, 1506 nt
Filed under: Phasianus colchicus (ring-necked pheasant)
Lineage: Eukaryota; Metazoa; Chordata; Aves; Galliformes; Phasianidae
Description: lncRNA (ENSPCLG00000018457.1)
Source: RNAcentral
AUGCAGAACAGAGAAAUGAAAAAAAUCCUUGAUGCUCAAAAGGAAAAAACUUUGGCAAAAAAGCACAUGUUUGAAAACCUGAAUAUAAAAUUAUUGGACCUGCAGCAUCAGAUAAGUCUGAAUUCCACGGCAAUACAUAAUGAGGAAAUUCUCAUCACAAAACUGAAAGAAAAGAAGGAACAUUUGGAAAAAAAGAUGGAUCUCAAACAGGCAGACAUGGCAGCGGCCUUGGAAAAGAAAAAUCAGAUUGAUUCUGAGCUACUGCUUGCACAAUCAAAAAUUGCACGAGAAAAAGAGGAUUUUGAUCAGGAACUUGGAAAGGCUAAUGAAUAUCUACAAAACGCUGAAUGCCUGAACAACAAACUUAAAUUGGAAAACAAAGCUGUGCACCAGAAGUUUGAGCGAGCACUGGAAGAAGAAAAACACUGGGCCAGAAGAAGAGAUGAGAUGGAGGCAAAAAUGUCCAGGGAAAGUAAUGCAAAGGAACUGGCAUCUCUAGAGCAAAAAUUGAAGGCAGAAAAUAAGAUGAGAGUGAUGCUUCAGUGGAAGCUACUGUACUUAGCAAAGCAAAGCAAACUCUUUUUUUUGGAGGAGGAGAAUAUAAGCAGAAGAGUGAAUGAAAGGAUAGACACUGGUGAGAAAAGGCAUGCUGAAUUACUUCUGGAGACCGAAGAGCUUGAAAAAGAACUUCUUCAGUCUGAAAAGCAAAUCAAAGCGCUGACUGAAGAAGCAAUAAAGAGAAAAAAUGAUUACAGGAGUUAUAAUGAAGAUUUUACUAAUAAAAUAAAAUACCUGGAGGAUGACAUCAGAACUGCAAGUGAAAAUCUUCUUAAAAUAGAACACAAGUUUAAGGUGAGCAGGCUAACUUUGGAAGAAACCCAGAAGGAAAGAGAAGAGAAGUAUGCAGAAUACAAAGAGUUGAGGAAAUCAUUUUUGAAAAAGAAAGAUGAAGAGUUACGAAUCCAAAGAGCCAUUCAGAAAUCAAUCAAGACCACUGGGAUGCUCAAGGAGGAAAUUCUGGAGCUACGGAAGCAAUUGUGCAUCAAGCGUGAUGCUGCAGUCAGCCAGCUGAAACAUCAAACUGAGAGUAUGAAGUUGCUAGAAAGAGACAUCUAUGAGAUCAACAGAAAACUUGACAUUGUGAACACCGAGAACUGCAGAUUCAAAUUAUGCAAUGCACAGAUGAAAGAAGAUAUCCUGGCAAUGAAUUCUGAAGCAGAAGGCCACCAGUCAGCAAUAGUGAAAAUUGGGCAUGACCUGGCAGUGCUUCAUGGUUUUCUGCUGGAGAGAUGGUCAGAGGACAGCUCUCUUCAGAAGGAAUUUCUGGAGAAUGAGCAGGAAAUUCUGAAUGCAGUGACAGCCCUACUAAGAAAAAUCCAGCAUAGAGAGGAAAAGAUUGGUGACAUUAACAGCAGGCUACAAAAUAGUCUGGAAGGAAUGGAUUCUCUGCUUGAAAAAAAAUCUAGAAUGGAUGAUGAUGAAUCAGAUGCAGUGAAGAAUAAAUGA